UACGUAGGUGGCAAGCGUUGUCCGGAAUUACUGGGCGUAAAGCGUGCGCAGGCGGCUUCUCAAGUCAGGGGUGAAAGCCCAGAGCUCAACUCUGGAAUUGCCUUUGAGACUGAGUGGCUUGAGUACGAGAGAGGUGAGUGGAAUUCCCAGUGUAGAGGUGAAAUUCGUAGAUAUUGGGAAGAACACCGGUGGCGAAGGCGGCUCACUGGCUCGUAACUGACGCUCAUGCACGACAGCGUGGGGAUCAAACAGG
RNAcentral lists this ribosomal RNA (253 nucleotides) under uncultured bacterium. RNAcentral's name for it is "partial 16S ribosomal RNA". It matches the Rfam family "Bacterial small subunit ribosomal RNA", at positions 524 to 776 of the family's 1533-position model. The record is from RNAcentral.